UGUGCCGAUGUCCAGCAGAGAGAGAG
RNAcentral lists this non-coding RNA (26 nucleotides) under Mus musculus (house mouse). The record is from RNAcentral. Lineage: Eukaryota; Metazoa; Chordata; Mammalia; Rodentia; Muridae.